UACGUAGGGGGCUAGCGUUGUCCGGAAUCAUUGGGCGUAAAGCGCGCGUAGGCGGCCAGAUAAGUCCGGUGUGAAAGUCAAAGGCUCAACCUUUGAAUGCCGCUGGAAACUGUCUGGCUUGAGUCCGGGAGGGGCGAGUGGAAUUCCUGGUGUAGCGGUGAAAUGCGCAGAUAUCGUCAAGAACACCGAUAGUGAAGACAGCUUACUAGACUUCAACUGACGCUGAGGCACGAAAGUGUGGGGAUCAAACAGG
Molecule: ribosomal RNA, 253 nt
Filed under: uncultured bacterium
Lineage: Bacteria
Description: partial 16S ribosomal RNA
Rfam family: Bacterial small subunit ribosomal RNA
Source: RNAcentral